GAGAUCUGACCUAACAAGAUAGCUGACCAGUACCUUUUAUAGUACUUUAAACACACCCCCAUCAAACUCUCCCACUGCCAAAUAAUUCAUCCUAAGUGUAUAAAAUGGUAACAAGAAUGAUUGGAUGAGGACAUGGCUGUAAAUCGAGGAGUUGUGCAAGCAUAAGAGUGCCACGAGUGUGAGAGGUAUUCAAGUGAGAAUGAGAGGCAUUCAGAGAGCAAUCCAUAGGAAUUUGUUGAUGCCCUGAGCAAUAGAGCGGAAAUGUUCAAUGUGAAUAGUUUGUGAGAAUUGAAGAGCCAUGUGAAUGAACAUAUAGAAACAGCCCAUGCAUUUUUCUGCUACUGACAAAGCAACGAGAAGUCAUGAGAAUUACGAGGAGCAGAGAGGAUUUAGAUCGAGGGUAGUGGCAAAACUCAAUCAAGUUGAGUAGUUAGAGGUGGUUUGGCUAAAACAAUUACUAAACUACCCAUGU
RNAcentral lists this long non-coding RNA (472 nucleotides) under Oryza brachyantha (malo sina). Its description in RNAcentral is "long non-coding RNA (OBRA_LNC003179)". Lineage: Eukaryota; Viridiplantae; Streptophyta; Magnoliopsida; Poales; Poaceae. The record is from RNAcentral.